RNAcentral lists this signal recognition particle RNA (96 nucleotides) under marine eukaryotic metagenome. RNAcentral describes it as "Bacteroidales small SRP". It matches the Rfam family "Bacteroidales small SRP", at positions 8 to 103 of the family's 107-position model. From Rfam's summary of the family: The non-coding component of the signal recognition particle in Bacteroides The record is from RNAcentral.
AGGCAAGUCUCACACGACCAGCUCCUGCUGAAUCCCCCAGGAUGGGAACAUAGCAAGGGUAGGCGGUUGUAGCGGUGCGAUGUGAGUAGCUUGCCU